Molecule: ribosomal RNA, 253 nt
Filed under: uncultured bacterium
Lineage: Bacteria
Description: partial 16S ribosomal RNA
Rfam family: Bacterial small subunit ribosomal RNA
Source: RNAcentral
UACGUAGGGGGCUAGCGUUGUCCGGAAUCAUUGGGCGUAAAGCGCGUGUAGGCGGCCCGGUAAGUCCGCUGUGAAAGUCGGGGGCUCAACCCUCGGAUGCCGGUGGAUACUGUCGGGCUCGAGUGCGGAAGAGGCGAGUGGAAUUCCUGGUGUAGCGGUGGAAUGCGCAGAUAUCAGGAGGAACACCGAUGGCGAAGGCAGCUCGCUGGGACGGUACUGACGCUGAGGCGCGAAAGCGUGGGGAGCGAACAGG